UACGUAGGGGGCGAGCGUUGUCCGGAUUUAUUGGGCGUAAAGAGCUCGUAGGCGGUUCGGUAAGUCGGAUGUGAAAUCUCCACGCUCAACGUGGAGGGGCCAUUCGAUACUGCCGUGACUCGAGUCAGGUAGGGGAGUGUGGAAUUCCCGGUGUAGCGGUGAAAUGCGCAGAGAUCGGGAGGAACACCCGUAGCGAAGGCGGCACUCUGGGCCGGUACUGACGCUGAGGAGCGAAAGCGUGGGGAGCGAACAGG
Molecule: ribosomal RNA, 254 nt
Filed under: uncultured bacterium
Lineage: Bacteria
Description: partial 16S ribosomal RNA
Rfam family: Bacterial small subunit ribosomal RNA
Source: RNAcentral